UUGGAGGCUCUGGUAUGCUCUGAUGGUAGGAGGAGAUGGUACAGGGAGGCCACAAAGACUGAUGCUCUUUGGUUCUCCAGUUGUCUUUCAGGAGGUGUAGCCUGGUUGUGGCCUGGGGAGUUUGGCUGUUCUGUGUGGUGUGCCUCCACGGUGUGGUCUCCAGUGAGCUGCUCAGCAGGUGUAGACCCGGGCAGGGCGAAGCUCUCUGGGCUGUUGACUGUGAGGCCCCUCCCCACCGGUAGAUUUCCAAGCCUCUUCAGUUUUGCAUUCAGCCACAGCAGGAUCCAAACUUCAGUGACCUGAGUACCUGUCACACCUAUUUGUUCUGAAUAGCCCCUUUGAACAGAGCCUUUCUUGACAGAGAAAAGGAGUAUUG
This 376-nucleotide long non-coding RNA is filed under the name Homo sapiens (human). RNAcentral describes it as "HSALNT0368380". The record is from RNAcentral. Lineage: Eukaryota; Metazoa; Chordata; Mammalia; Primates; Hominidae.